RNAcentral lists this microRNA (22 nucleotides) under Saccoglossus kowalevskii. Its description in RNAcentral is "Sko-Mir-2001_3p* (star (passenger))". Lineage: Eukaryota; Metazoa; Hemichordata; Enteropneusta; Harrimaniidae. The record is from RNAcentral.
GCCUACUGUAGCGUUUACAACA